This 243-nucleotide ribosomal RNA is filed under the name Triticum aestivum (bread wheat). Its description in RNAcentral is "partial small subunit ribosomal RNA". The record is from RNAcentral. Lineage: Eukaryota; Viridiplantae; Streptophyta; Magnoliopsida; Poales; Poaceae.
AUGGUGGAGGAAGACGACUCCGGCUUGCCGAUAGUGGUGGGGGAUGUCAUCCACAAGGCCGUCGUCGAGGUAAACGAGGAAGGGACUGAAGCUGCAGCUGUCACCGCCGCCGACGCCGGCAUGGGAGGAUGCAGCCGAUUUGUGGAUUUCAUCGCCGACCAUCCGUUUGGCUACUACAUAAUGGAGGAAGCGACUGGCGCAGUUAUCUUUGCGGGGCACGUCCUAGACCCCUCCAAGGAGUAA